Mirounga angustirostris (Northern elephant seal) is the source of this 5796-nucleotide long non-coding RNA. RefSeq lists it as uncharacterized. The record is from RefSeq and is a predicted model, not a curated record. The transcript has 3 exons. NCBI's taxonomy places the organism in Eukaryota, Metazoa, Chordata, Mammalia, Carnivora, Phocidae.
ACCUGGCGAACUGUAUUCCCGCGGGGGUUCGACUGGGCGCGCGAUCCAGUUGACUUACUCCAAGGCGCGAGAUCCCGCGAGAGCAGGAACUUGAACAUUUCCCCUAAAGCAAGAGGGGAGCGUUGUUAGGGCUUAGCUGUCAGGGAGGGUGCGUGCCGGUUCGCUGUGUGGUGUAGAGGGAAGAAGGGGUUAGUUCUCCUCAAGCGGAGGUGAUUAUUCCCGCGCUCUUGGUCAACAUUUUCGGUAUUUUCUAAGCUCAGGAACGCGAACCCACGAAGGACUGGGUUAAGUAUUGUUACCUGAGAGAAAACCAUCCGUACUGCCUGGCUUCACAACCGCGUGUGGGUGCUGAGCCUGGAGUGUUGCAUGGCCCAGAACAGAGCCUUGUGCAGGAGGCCUGGGACCUAAGAGACUGGCACGGCCUAAUUUUGCCAUCGCCUUCUUCAUGGGGAGAAUGGCCCUGGAGAGGAUUUGGAACAAGCUUAGAUUGAAACAAAAGAAGACCAGAGCGCACCUGACCCACCCACCUGGUGUCUGAGUUUCUACAAAAAGUGGCUGGUUUGAGAGCUCAUUUUAUGAGGGCUCUAAAAAGCUGUAAGUGGGGGCACCUGGGUGGCUCAGUUGGUUAAGCGUCUGCCUUCGGCUCAGGUCAUGAUCCUGGGGUCCUGGGAUCAAGCCCCGCCUCUGGGUCCCUGCUCAGUGGGGAGUCUGUUUCUCCCUCUGACCCUCCCCUGUCUCAUGUUCUGUCUCUCUCUCAAAUAAAUAAAUAAAAUCUUUAAAAAAAAAAUAAAAAUAAAAAGCUGUAAGUGAUCUGUGAAAACCUCUAAGUCCCACACCUUUGUUAUGCAGGCUCCUUCGCUUAUGUCAGCACAGGGUGGGCUGGGAGAAUGUGGGUCCUGGUGAGCCAUGGGCCAUGUGACUCUGUCCUGACUGUGGGUUCCCAAGCUGGCUCUUGUUCCGGGUGUGACAUUAAAUAGAGUCCAAGUACUAAGAAAAAAAAUUCUUAAAUGACAUACAAAAUAUGGAAAAGCUCACAGGAAGGAAGACUAUUCUAUCAAGAUCCUAAAAAGGCUAUCUUAACUGCAAUUUUGAGUCUGGAGAAUGGAGCUAAUGCUUAUCCAAAAAAGGUAGUCAGUUUAGUGUUUCUAUCUAUGUCUGUAUUUAAUAAAUUCCUUGCUCCAACAUAAAGUAAUUCCAAAUCAGAGCCAAGUAUAUUUAUCCCAAAGAAUUUUCAGUGUAACCUCUAAUCUAGCUUAGUUCUCAGUGCCUUUGAUUUCUUACUGUAUGAUGUUGAUAUAUUUUUAUUAUAUUCAUAACAAUAGCUAACAUUUAUUGAGGGACUUACCAUGUGUGGGGUAGUAUACUUUAUAAUGCAUUUAUUUUUAAGAUAGCAACUAAUAUCCUCAUAAUUCAGAUACAUUUAUUCAUUUAACACAUUUUUAUUGUUCUUUACUAUGUACCAGGCACAGAGGAUAGAGCAAUUAAUAAAAAAGGCAAAGUUUCUGCCCUGAGAGAACAUUCAUUCUGGUGGGCGAGAUGAACAUGGAAGGAACAAAUACGUAUAUUACUUUGGUGGGUCAUAAGAAUGCUCCUUGCAGAUGUCCAACAACAUUAUUGACCAAGGGCCCCAGUUCUGGUGCACUGUGACCUCCAUCACUUCAUUCGGGCCUAGGCUGCCUUCCAGUCUGUUCCCAGCCGAUGACUGACUGUGACAGGGACACUAAGGCAGAACCGCUUCAGGGAAACAGGGCCUCUCCUGCAGGUGACUUUGGCUCAAGGAUCCUCCAGCAGCUGCACUGCAUCUUCCCUCGACUGCAUGCUAGUGUGAAACAAGUCAGUGGGGAACAGUCAGGAACAAGAGACUCCUUGAAGUCUCUUGGCUCUCCCAGCCCUCUGGACUCCUUCCCCCUUUUCACUUUGAGGGCAUUUUUCCUAAUACAAUUUUUUCAGAUUUAACCCCACCUUGACAUCUGCUUCUCAGAGGACCCAGACUAACAUAUUAUGUUAGGGAGUAAUAAGUGCUAUUUUAAAAAAGCACAAUAAUGGACACCUGGGUGGCUCAGUCGGUUAAGUGUCCGACUCUUGAUUUUGGCUUGGGUCAUGAUCUCGGUGUCGCAAGAUCAAGCCCCGCAUCUGCAUGGGAUUCUCCCCCUUACCCCCUGCAUGUGCGCAUGCUCUCUCUUUCUCAAAUAAAUAAAUAAAAUCUUUUUAAAAAAGCACAAUAAGGUGUUAGAAAUAUAUGCUCUGGAUUAAGGAUGGUCAGGGAAGGUCUCAGACAGAGGUAGCACUUGAGUCACAUAAAGAAUUGGAGAAAACGGAUUUACAGAGUGAAGUGAAUUGCUUGAGAGUACAUCGCUGAUUUGUGGUAGAUCAGCCCCCAGCUGGCACCUUCAAAAUGACCACUUUUAUGUUAUCUGUAAGUACGUGAUGAUACAGAAAAUGUACUGAGAGUAUCUGUUUGGGGGGCAGUUGUGUACAUGAAGAAUUAGAAGUACUUCAAAAGGUAUGAGGAGAAACCUGCAGAAAGCACUAAAUGACACAAUUAAUUCCUGCCCAGGCUAGCAUGAACUUCCUUUCAGCCUGCUCCAUUCUGGCAUUCCUUUUUUGCCCCUUUCAUUUAAAUUUAUUUUGCUAGUGCUGCAGCUUCUAUACUAGUUCUUCAAUCAGCAGUUUUAAAAUAGGGUAUGACACUGAAUUUAUCUUUUUUCCUUCUGACUUUUUCCGGUCCUGUUUCCUGAAACAUCUCCAUCCCCUACAGUGCCUAAGCUGUCACUGAAAUGUGUUUCAAAAUAUAACACAGUAAAACAUAACACAGUACAGAAAAAUAAGCACAUUCUUUUUGGAGCUGAACCAUAACCUCUUAAAAUUAGCAUUUCCCCCCCAUCUGCCCAUACGGACCAAAUAUUCCUAUUGAUAUCACAUUAUAUUGAGAAAGCAGAAAAAGUUUCUAUUCCUGGAUUGAAAUCCAGCCCUUUUAAGGAAUUCAAAUAGAGACACACCCUGUUCUUUAUCUGAUAACACUCCAGCUUCAGCCCUGGAAAUCUUUACACAAUUUUACUUAUUUUUUUUCUUGGCUCUGGAAAGUUGAACUUUUUAAAGUAUUAUAAUUUUCCAAAAACUUGUUGAUAUAUUGGUGAAGUGCUUUGAUCAGUAGAUUCCCCUUGUUGUUCUCUGAGCAGAAGCUGUCACUCUUCCACCUUUCAUAGAAAGCAAACCACUCUUCUUCCUACAGAAUAGAGCAUGUGGAGGUCGAAAGUAUUUUUCAUAAGAAGCAUUCAAAGCAAUACUUCCCUAAGCUUAAUAAAAAGCAGUUGUGGCUGAGAAACUGCAAUGAUGUCAUGUAAGUUUUAUCUUGCCUAAGCAGCAGAGUGAGGAAAUUCCAGAAUUAAUAAGUCUGCUGGUACAGCUGUGCCCUGAGUUGGAAAGUUCAGGAUGUUCUUUUCAUACUCACGACUGGACAUUUUGCUCCACAUUAGCCUUUGCAAGAAUAAUUGGCUCCCUCCAUUUCCAAGCUGCUAAAACAUUUAUAAAUGGAUCUAUUUAGAAAAUGUAAAAGUUUAAAUGGAUUCAAUAAAUGGUCACUUAGACUCAAAAUUAUUGUUUAUAUUUGCCUUGAUUCUGUAAUGACCUGUAAUUAGUUAUUUUUAAUUAUCAAGUGCCUUUGAAUAGUGAGUUAAGAAAUGGAAAAUCCUAACUUUGAGAAAUGAUUGAAGGGAGUAGAGUUAAAAACCAAGAAUGGUCUUUUUAACCAUAGCUCUAGUUAUUAAUGUGGCUCUAGUUAUUAUCUAGAGAACAAUUGGCCAGCUGAUCAUCAGGAAAUUGGCUUACAUAAAAUAAGAGAUAUAAUUUCAUGAUCCGGAAGUCUGUUGAACAGUAUAAUGGAAAUUGAGAGAGUUCUGUCUAGUUUUGUAAAGUAGAAAAUAUUUUCUUUAAAGGAAUGGCUUUGGUGUAUUAUCACACUAGAUGAUUUCUUUCAACCUUACGGUACUUAGUGACAUGCACUCCUUUCCUUUCUUUCCUCUUCUUUCCUCCUUUGCCUCUGCAGGGGAAAGAAAAGGAAGAUACACAGUGCUGAGCAGAAAUGAGCAAAUUUAAUCAGAGUUCGCUUUUGUGGUUCUCAAAUUUCAAAAUUAAAUAUGCAUGUUGCUUGUUUUAUUGGGUUCAUGUUCAGUAUAGCCUGACAGAGCAGCCUUCUCUGAUCAUGAGUGCCUGAGUGACUUUGGAGGGGGUCUCUGAAUUUGUCCAGUUUAUAGCUGUAUUUGCCUCAAACUAAGAUAAUGGAGAUUUAUUCUUAUUUUGUCUAAUGUAAAAAAAUAGCCUAAGGCUGAAUAUAUUUUAGAGCCAGACUUACCAAGUUCUCCUAGAAUUAAGCAAAUCACCUUAGUUCUCUAAGGCUCAAUUUUCUUAUAUAAUAUUGAGAUUAUUUCUAAUACAUUACUCACAGGAUAAUUAUGUAAAUAAAAUAUUACAAAUAUAUGUUAAGAAGCCUUUAUAAAACCAUGAGUACAGUGCCUGGCAUUUAAUAGUCCAUCAAUGAAAGUUAUUUUUAUUCUUUUACUUUUUCUUUUAAUUUUCUUUCUCCUUUUUCCAUUUUUCAUGUAUACAAAUAUGACUGGAAAAGAUAUCACAGAUUUUCUGCUGUUCUAAAUAGACUCUCAUAUUUCUUCAGACUUGGAAAAAUUUAGCUGUUUUUCAGGGCAAUGGAAACCUAUUCAAAAUUCCUUUCAAAUUCUCGAUUGUGUAGCAACCAGAGUAUGACAUUUUGGCAUUUCUUUUUUUUUUUUUUUUUUAAAGAUUUUACUUAUUUAUUUGAGAGAGAGAGAAUGAGAGAGAGCACACGAGAAGGGGGAGGGUCAGAGGGAGAAGCAGACUCCCUGCUGAGCAGGGAGCCCGAUGCGGGACUUGAUCUCCAGGAUCAUGACCUGAGCCGAAGGCAGUCGCUUAACCAACUGAGCCACCCAGGUGCCCGACAUUUUGGCAUUUCUAAAGGUGUCAGACAGCUGAGCUAAAAUUCAUACACACUUCCAGGAAAGGAAGAAAUACAAUAGUGAACAGAGAGUUAUUCCAUCAUUUUCUAUCCAAUCUUAAAAAAAAAAACAAAAAAACUUAAGAUUUUCCCUUUUUAAAUACUGCUUUAUGGGAGUUGCAGAGCUGGGAGUAUUGUUCUUUAGCUAGCAUAUUUAAUCGCUGGGCCCCCUUUCGGUGGUUGACAGAAUGGUGAUAUUGAGCAUACAGUUUAAUUACUUGGAGAUGGUUGAAAGCAUGCAAUAAAAUUUCAAUUUAAUGAGAAAUGAUAACUCAUUUCAAACUGCUAAUAAAAACUAAAUGAUUUCUUCAUAAUGCAUAAUAGAAUAUGACUAAUUUUUAUUUUUUAAAACAUUAAAAAUGGACCAAAAAAUGGCAUGAUGGGAGCCUUACAUCUAGUUUAUCACAGAUGCCAAUGUUAUUAUUUUAAAACAGAUAAACACCAAAACUUAAAUAAAACUAAGUUAUCUUAAAGAUAUAUUUUAAAUUAUACAAAUUCUCUAUAAUUUCAGUAUGUAUUAAUACAAUACUUUGAUAUUGCUACUUUCUAGAGAUUGCAUUUUUUCAUUAGCAGUUUUUAAAAAAAUUUCUCUGCUUACAAGACUAGAGGAUGAUUAAAACAACCACCAAUUCCAACACUGAAUACACAGAUUCUUUUGUAAAUAUGUAAUGUUGUUAUGUGGCAUUUUCUUUAUGAUCCAUUCUCCUUCCUAAACUUAGCCUGGUGCAUAGUUUUCUAUGACUGAGGCAUUCCUUCUCUGGCAUAAACAU